Molecule: ribosomal RNA, 139 nt
Filed under: uncultured bacterium
Lineage: Bacteria
Description: partial 16S ribosomal RNA
Rfam family: Bacterial small subunit ribosomal RNA
Source: RNAcentral
UGGGGAAUAUUGCACAAUGGGGGAAACCCUGAUGCAGCGACGCCGCGUGAGUGAAGAAGUAUUUCGGUAUGUAAAGCUCUAUCAGCAGGGAAGGAAAAUGACGGGUACCUGACUAAGAAGCCCCGGCUAACUACGUGCC